This 253-nucleotide ribosomal RNA is filed under the name uncultured bacterium. RNAcentral describes it as "partial 16S ribosomal RNA". It matches the Rfam family "Bacterial small subunit ribosomal RNA", at positions 524 to 776 of the family's 1533-position model. The record is from RNAcentral.
UACGGGGGGGGCAAGCGUUGUUCGGAAUUACUGGGCGUAAAGGGUCAGUAGGCGGCCAACUAAGUCCGACGUGAAAUCCCAAAGCUUAACUUUGGAACUGCGUCGGAUACUGGAUGGCUUGAAUUCGGGAGAGGGAUGCAGAAUUCCAGGUGUAGCGGUGAAAUGCGUAGAUAUCUGGAGGAAUACCGGUGGCGAAGGCGGCAUCCUGGACCGACAUUGACGCUGAACGACGAAAGCUAGGGGAGCAAACGGG